UGGGGAAUUUUGGACAAUGGGCGCAAGCCUGAUCCAGCCAUGCCGCGUGCGGGAAGAAGGCCUUCGGGUUGUAAACCGCUUUUGUCAGGGAAGAAAUCUUCUGAGUUAAUACCUCGGGAGGAUGACGGUACCUGAAGAAUAAGCACCGGCUAACUACGUGCCAGCAGCCGCGGUAAUACGUAGGGUGCAAGCGUUAAUCGGAAUUACUGGGCGUAAAGCGUGCGCAGGCGGUUUUGUAAGACAGAGGUGAAAUCCCCGGGCUCAACCUGGGAACUGCCUUUGUGACUGCAAGGCUUGAGUGCGGCAGAGGGGGAUGGAAUUCCGCGUGUAGCAGUGGAAUGCGUAGAUAUGCGGAGGAACACCGAUGGCGAAGGCAAUCCCCUGGGCCUGCACUGACGCUCAUGCACGAAAGCGUGGGGAGCAAACAGGAUUAGAUAGCCCUGGUAGUCCACGCCCUAAACGAUGUCAACUGGUUGUUGGGAAGGUUCCUUCUCAGUAACGUAGCUAACGCGUGAAGUUGACCGCCUGGGGAGUACGGCCGCAAGGUUG
Molecule: ribosomal RNA, 549 nt
Filed under: uncultured bacterium
Lineage: Bacteria
Description: partial 16S ribosomal RNA
Rfam family: Bacterial small subunit ribosomal RNA
Source: RNAcentral